RNAcentral lists this non-coding RNA (124 nucleotides) under Actinotalea ferrariae CF5-4. RNAcentral's name for it is "Cellulomonas sp. Mn5-4 TPP riboswitch aptamer (THI element)". It matches the Rfam family "TPP riboswitch aptamer (THI element)". From Rfam's summary of the family: Vitamin B(1) in its active form thiamin pyrophosphate (TPP) is an essential coenzyme that is synthesised by coupling of pyrimidine and thiazole moieties in bacteria. The previously detected thiamin-regulatory element, thi box was extended, resulting in a new, highly conserved RNA secondary structure, the THI element, which is widely distributed in eubacteria and also occurs in some archaea. The record is from Rfam by way of RNAcentral. RNAcentral also lists the same sequence under 1 other name. Lineage: Bacteria; Bacillati; Actinomycetota; Actinomycetes; Micrococcales; Cellulomonadaceae.
CCCGAACGACAGGGGAGCGUCGUCCGGGCCCCCACCGGACGCAGGACGCUGAGAGUGCGGAACUCCGCAGACCCUCGAACCUGAUCCGGUUCACACCGGCGUAGGGAGUCGGGAUUCUCAGGGC